Non-coding RNA from Streptococcus agalactiae NEM316, 82 nucleotides. NCBI's taxonomy places the organism in Bacteria, Bacillati, Bacillota, Bacilli, Lactobacillales, Streptococcaceae. The record is from Rfam.
GGUAUUGUUUACCCCAUUUGUAAGGCCCCGGAACCUUUCAAAUACUCUCGUGGACCGGAACAUCCACACCUGUAAACAAAAA